CGUCAACCACCCACACGUAGUUUACUCGGUGCGCCAGCGCCUGCACCAUCACCGCCACCAGCGAGCUCUCCGAGUAGCACACGAUCGCCUCCUCCGAGCUCCUCUGCAUCCCCAUCGAUCUCACCCUCCUCAGCUUCCUCCCAGCUGACUCCUCGUCCUCCGACGAUGAGGAGGAUAAGGGAGAGAAGAGCUCCUCCUCCAUCAGCUCCAGCAUCCCCUUGAAGCCUUUCUCCCUCAGCCCGGCCUUGAUCGCUCGGACGGUGGCCUCCGGUGGCGAGCCACAGUAGUCGAUGUAGGCCAUGAGGUCCCCGACGGAAAGCAUGACGAGGGCGGCCGCCACCGUCUCGUCGCAGGCGGCGAGGGUGGAGGGGGAGAUCUCGCCGACCAGCUUGCCGUCGUCGGUGAUGACUGCGACGGAGGUCUGGUCGGCGAGAGCGCGGCGGAUGAGGGGGAGGGCGUUGAGGGCGGCGUCAUCGUACUGGAUGGCGAGGACGUUGGAGCGGACGAGGCCGAGGGAGGAUACGGAAUGGGCGGCGAUGGGGGCGAAAUGGGCGAUGGAGUUGAAGAAAUAGCGGACGAAAUCCUCCUGCGUCAGCCAACAGAAUUCCGCCCCUCCGCCACCGCCGCCGCCGCCGCCGGCGGAGUGGUGGUGGAGCUUCCUCCGGCCACCGGAGCGGAUGGGGACCACCAGGCACGAAGCCCCGUCGAGGAUCACAUCCAGCGCUUCUAAUACACUGCAAAUUCCCCCAAAAGAAAAUCGAAUUUUGUACUGAUCAAAAUAAAAAAAAUAUAUAAAUUCUCACAAGAAACUUAUUUUAUCAUCCGGUACGGUGCCGAAUUAAAUCUCAGUCCGAUUUUUGUCCCUUCUUAAAGGAAAGGAAAUAUUAGGGAGAAAUUUAAUAGAGGAACCAUCGAGAUCUGAUAGAUUUUAAAUAAACAAGCAAGAAAGAUCUGGCAAUUGUUCGAACAAAUUAAUCAAACCUUUCAAGAAGUGAAGCACGAAACCAUCAAGAUUAACAGAUUAUUGUCUAUUUCUAAGAUCCGGAAGGAGGGAGGGAGGGGAUACCUCGAAUGGGACUCGACCCGGCGGACGAGGGCGGCGUCCUUUGAAAGAAGGUCGGAGAUGGGCUUCUUGAGAGCGUCGACAGGAGAAUCUAGGUUCUCGUCGACGCAGAGGAAGCAGAGGAUGUCCACCACGC
This 1199-nucleotide long non-coding RNA is filed under the name Elaeis guineensis (African oil palm). RNAcentral's name for it is "long non-coding RNA (EGUI_LNC037292)". The record is from RNAcentral. Lineage: Eukaryota; Viridiplantae; Streptophyta; Magnoliopsida; Arecales; Arecaceae.